RNAcentral lists this ribosomal RNA (490 nucleotides) under uncultured bacterium. RNAcentral describes it as "partial 16S ribosomal RNA". It matches the Rfam family "Bacterial small subunit ribosomal RNA", at positions 28 to 507 of the family's 1533-position model. The record is from RNAcentral.
GAUGAACGCUAGCGAUAGGCUUAACACAUGCAAGUCGAGGGGCAGCAUGGUCUUAGCUUGCUAAGACUGAUGGCGACCGGCGCACGGGUGCGUAACGCGUAUGCAACUUGCCUCACAGAGGGGGAUAACCCGUCGAAAGACGGACUAAUACCGCGUACACUCCAUCUUGGGCAUCCAAGGUAGAGGAAAUGAAAUUCGCUGUGAGAUAGGCAUGCGUCCCAUUAGCUAGUUGGUGAGGUAACGGCUCACCAAGGCGACGAUGGGUAGGGGAGCUGAGAGGGUGAACCCCCACACUGGUACUGAGACACGGACCAGACUCCUACGGGAGGCAGCAGUGAGGAAUAUUAGUCAAUGGGCGAGAGCCUGAACCAGCCAAGUCGCGUGAAGGAUGACUGUCUUAUGGAUUGUAAACUUCUUUUAUACGGGAAUAACAAGAGUCACGUGUGACUCCCUGCAUGUACCGUAUGAAUAAGCAUCGGCUAACUCCGUG